AUGAUGACGGUGGAUCUCGCUACGAGGCUUUAUGGAAGCUUAAGCUUCAUCGUGAAAUCCAUAGAUUCUUAUGCAUCCAGAGAAUUGAUAGAGGUCGAAGGUUUCUGGUUGAAGAUGAGAGGAUUGGAGAGUGAGAAGUUAGCCAAAUCAGUGAGUCAAAUUAGUUAUUUGGAAUGUUUCACCGAGCUUGAAGGGUUGUUUAUGACUAUGUGGAUUAAUGUUGAUAAUCAUGUGCUGACUUAA
This is a non-coding RNA of Vicia faba (fava bean), 243 nucleotides long. The record is from the annotation of a GenBank genome assembly. NCBI's taxonomy places the organism in Eukaryota, Viridiplantae, Streptophyta, Magnoliopsida, Fabales, Fabaceae.